This 85-nucleotide transfer RNA is filed under the name Lobosphaera incisa. RNAcentral describes it as "tRNA-Ile". It matches the Rfam family "tRNA". Rfam says of the family: Transfer RNA (tRNA) molecules are approximately 80 nucleotides in length. Lineage: Eukaryota; Viridiplantae; Chlorophyta; Trebouxiophyceae; Trebouxiales; Trebouxiaceae. The record is from RNAcentral.
GCAUGUAUGGCUGAGUGGUUGAAAGCGGCAGACUCAUAAUCUGUUUCCGAAUAGGACAUCACAGGUUCGAGUCCUGUUACAUGCA